Molecule: non-coding RNA, 111 nt
Organism: Acanthosepion pharaonis
Lineage: Eukaryota; Metazoa; Mollusca; Cephalopoda; Sepiida; Sepiidae
Source: the annotation of a GenBank genome assembly
AUGGCCAUAUCAUGUUAAAACACUGGCUCUCAUCUGAACAUUGAUGUUAAGUAACAUUGAGCCUGGUCAGUACCUAGAUUGAUGAAUGCUUGUGAAUCUCAGGUGCUGUAA